GACGAACGCUGGCGGCGUGCCUAAUACAUGCAAGUCGAACGCUUCUUUCCUCCCGAGUGCUUGCACUCAAUUGGAAAGAGGAGUGGCGGACGGGUGAGUAACACGUGGGUAACCUACCCAUCAGAGGGGGAUGACACUUGGAAACAGGUGCUAAUACCGCAUAACAGUUUAUGCCGCAUGGCAUAAGAGUGAAAGGCGCUUUCGGGUGUCGCUGAUGGAUGGACCCGCGGUGCAUUAGCUAGUUGGUGAGGUAACGGCUCACCGAGGCCACGAUGCAUAGCCGACCUGAGAGGGUGAUCGGCCACACUGGGACUGAGACACGGCCCAGACUCCUACGGGAGGCAGCAGUAGGGAAUCUUCGGCAAUGGACGAAAGUCUGACCGAGCAACGCCGCGUGAGUGAAGAAGGUGUUCGGAUCGUAAAACUCUGUUGUUAGAGAAGAACAAGGACGUUAGUAACUGAACGUCCCCUGACGGUAUCUAACCAGAAAGCCACGGCUAACUACGUG
This 508-nucleotide ribosomal RNA is filed under the name uncultured bacterium. RNAcentral's name for it is "partial 16S ribosomal RNA". It matches the Rfam family "Bacterial small subunit ribosomal RNA", at positions 28 to 507 of the family's 1533-position model. The record is from RNAcentral.